This 443-nucleotide ribosomal RNA is filed under the name uncultured bacterium. RNAcentral's name for it is "partial 16S ribosomal RNA". It matches the Rfam family "Bacterial small subunit ribosomal RNA", at positions 355 to 790 of the family's 1533-position model. The record is from RNAcentral.
UAGGGAAUCUUCGGCAACGGGGGCAACCCUGACCGAGCAACGCCGCGUGAGUGAAGAAGGUUUUCGGAUCGUAAAGCUCUGUUGUAAGUCAAGAACGGGUGUGAGAGUGGAAAGUUCACACUGUGACGGUAGCUUACCAGAAAGGGACGGCUAACUACGUGCCAGCAGCCGCGGUAAUACGUAGGUCCCGAGCGUUGUCCGGAUUUAUUGGGCGUAAAGCGAGCGCAGGCGGUUUGAUAAGUCUGAAGUUAAAGGCUGUGGCUCAACCAUAGUUCGCUUUGGAAACUGUCAAACUUGAGUGCAGAAGGGGAGAGUGGAAUUCCAUGUGUAGCGGUGAAAUGCGUAGAUAUAUGGAGGAACACCGGUGGCGAAAGCGGCUCUCUGGUCUGUAACUGACGCUGAGGCUCGAAAGCGUGGGGAGCGAACAGGAUUAGAUACCCUGG